This 60-nucleotide microRNA precursor is filed under the name Microcaecilia unicolor. RNAcentral describes it as "Mun-Mir-499_pre stem-loop". It matches the Rfam family "mir-499 microRNA precursor family", at positions 14 to 80 of the family's 80-position model. The record is from RNAcentral. Lineage: Eukaryota; Metazoa; Chordata; Amphibia; Gymnophiona; Siphonopidae.
UUAAGACUUGCAGUGAUGUUUAGAUAAAUUAUUACAUGAACAUCACUCUAAGUCUGUGCU